RNAcentral lists this unclassified non-coding RNA (146 nucleotides) under Acetobacterium wieringae. RNAcentral describes it as "sau-50". The record is from RNAcentral. Lineage: Bacteria; Bacillati; Bacillota; Clostridia; Eubacteriales; Eubacteriaceae.
UAAAGCCAGGGGCUUUAGAGGCUGCUAUUUCGAUGGGCUCUUUUGUUCGUGGGUUAAGACCUGUACGUGCUGCACGUUCUCUAACCUCAAAGGUUCCAAAACCUACUAAUGACACCUUGUCUCCAUUUUUCAAGGUAUCUACCACU